Molecule: ribosomal RNA, 750 nt
Filed under: uncultured bacterium
Lineage: Bacteria
Description: bacterial SSU rRNA
Rfam family: Bacterial small subunit ribosomal RNA
Source: RNAcentral
UCUUAACUGACGCUGAUGGACGAAAGCGUGGGGAGCGAACAGGAUUAGAUACCCUGGUAGUCCACGCCGUAAACGAUGCUAACUCGUUUUUGGGCCUUCGGGUUCAGAGACUAAGCGAAAGUGAUAAGUUAGCCACCUGGGGAGUACGUUCGCAAGAAUGAAACUCAAAGGAAUUGACGGGGGCCCGCACAAGCGGUGGAUUAUGUGGUUUAAUUCGAUGAUACGCGAGGAACCUUACCAAGACUUAAAUGGGAAUUGACAGAUCUAGAAAUAGGUCCUUCUUCGGACAAUUUUCAAGGUGCUGCAUGGUUGUCGUCAGCUCGUGCCGUGAGGUGUUAGGUUAAGUCCUGCAACGAGCGCAACCCCUGUCACUAGUUGCUAGCAUUAAGUUGAGGACUCUAGUGAGACUGCCUACGCAAGUAGAGAGGAAGGUGGGGAUGACGUCAAAUCAUCACGGCCCUUACGUCUUGGGCCACACACGUAAUACAAUGGCCGGUACAGAGGGCAGCUACCUAGCGAUAGGAUGCAAAUCUCGAAAGCCGGUCUCAGUUCGGAUUGGAGUCUGCAACUCGACUCUAUGUAGCUGGAAUCGCUAGUAAUCGCGCAUCAGCCAUGGCGCGGUGAAUACGUUCCCGGGCCUUGUACACACCGCCCGUCAAGCCAUGGAAGUCUGGGGUACCUGAAGUCGGUGACCGUAACAGGAGCUGCCUAGGGUAAAACAGGUAACUAGGGCUAAGUCGUAACAAGGUA